RNAcentral lists this unclassified non-coding RNA (288 nucleotides) under Hevea brasiliensis (rubber tree). The record is from RNAcentral. Lineage: Eukaryota; Viridiplantae; Streptophyta; Magnoliopsida; Malpighiales; Euphorbiaceae.
CGCGCCAGCUUCGUCUCGGAAGAGAUCAUUUUGCGCGCCAGACAAACAGGCUGGAGACGCCGUAGUUCCAGACCACGCCCAUUAAUGCCCCUGCCGCGCCCGCCAGCCACCAGAUCGGUUCCUGAUCGAAUACGGUCGCGGCGACGCCUACGUUCGCCAGCAACCCGACGCUGCACACGAGAUAGAACAGCAGGAGACCGCGAAUGAGCGCUCCGCCCUUCAGCCGCUGGUCACGAUAAGUGAGCUGGUUGUUGAGCAGAAAAUUUCCGGUCAUCGCGACAAAGGCCG